ACUGGCUACAGGUUAUCUACAAGUCUCUGCUAGGUAAAGCCCCGUCUUAUCUCAGCUCACUGGUCGCCAUAGCAGCACGCGCUUCAGCAGGUAUAUCUCACUGGUCACCAUAGCAGCACCCACUCGUAGCACGCGCUCCAGCAGGUAUAUCUCACUGGUCACCAUAGCAGCACGCGCUCCAGCAGGUAUAUCUCACUGGUCACCAUAGCAGCACCCACUCGUAGCACGCGCUCCAGCAGGUAUAUAUAUAUAUAUAUUUAUUUAUUUAGACUUGCAUGGCUUUAUUUAUUUAUAUAUAUUUUUUUUUUCACCUUUAUUUAACCAGGUAGGCUAGUUGAGAACAGGUUCUCAUUUGCAACUGCGACCAUUCAGCCACCUUUCGUUCCAGUACUCUGCUGCCUGUGACUGGAAUGAAUUGCAAAAAUCGCUGAAGUUGGAGACUUUUAUCUCCCUCACCAAUUUCAAACAUCAGCUAUCCGAGCAGCUAACCGAUCGCUGCAGCUGUACAUAAUCUACUGCUAAAUAGCCCACCCAUUUUCACCUACCUCAUCCCCACAGUUUUUAUUUAUUUACUUUUCUGCUCUUUUGCACACCAAUAUCUCUACCUGUACAUGAUUAUCUGAUCAUUUAUCACUCCAGUGUUAAUCUGCAAUAUUGUAAUUAUUCACCUACCUCCUCAUGCCUUUUGCACACAUUGUAUAUAGACUCCCCCUUUUUUUCUACUGUGUUAUUGACUUGUUAAUUGUUUACUCCAUGUGUAACUCUGUGUUGUCUGUUCACACUGCUAUGCUUUAUCUUGGCCAGGUUGCAGUUGCAAAUGAGAACUUGUUCUCAACUAGCCUACCUGGUUAAAUAAAGGUGAAAUAAAAAUAAAUACAUUUUAAAAAGCUGCGCCAAACGGCUAGCGUUGUCCUGGUAACCAUAAAGAGGGGACAGAGACACAUAUCAUUAUGGAUGCUGAUGUCACUGUUGACAUAAAGUGCUUUACAGAAACCCAGACCCAGAUAGAGCAAGCUGUAUGCUAGACCAGACCAAGCUGUAUGCUAGACCAGACCAAGCUGUAUGCUAGACCAGACCAAGCUGUAUGCUAGACCAGACCAAGCUGUAUGCUAGACCAGACCAAGCUGUAUGCUAGACCAGACCAAGCUGUAUGCUAGCCAGACCAAGCUGUAUGCUAGGCCAGACCAAGCUGUAUGCUAGGCCAGACCAAGCUGUAUGCUAGGCCAGACCAAGCUGUAUGCUAGACCAGACCAAGCUGUAUGCUAGACCAGACCAAGCUGUAUGCUAGGCCAGACCAAGCUGUAUGCUAGGCCAGACCAAGCUGUAUGCUAGGCCAGACCAAGCUGUAUGCUAGACCAGACCAAGCUGUAUGCUAGA
Oncorhynchus keta (chum salmon) is the source of this 1377-nucleotide long non-coding RNA. RefSeq lists it as uncharacterized. Lineage: Eukaryota; Metazoa; Chordata; Actinopteri; Salmoniformes; Salmonidae. The transcript has 3 exons. The record is from RefSeq and is a predicted model, not a curated record.